UAAUUUUUUUUCUCUUUAAAUUUUACAGAACUAUAGCCAUCUACCGAAAGCAGAUAUUUUUGCUCUUGCUCUCACAGUCGUAUGUGCUGCUGGUGCUGAACCCCUUCCCAGAAAUGGAGACCAGUGGCAUGAAAUCCGACAGGGUCGAUUACCUCGGAUUCCACAAGUGCUUUCCCAGGAGUUGACAGAGUUGCUAAAAGUUAUGAUUCAUCCUGAUCCAGAGAGAAGACCUUCAGCAAUGGUGCUGGUGAAGCAUUCAGUGUUGCUGUCUGCCUCUAGAAAGAGCGCAGAGCAGUUACGAAUAGAAUUGAAUGCUGAAAAAUUCAAAAAUUCUCUUUUGCAGAAGUAAGGGUUUAUUGUUUUUACUCUGCCUUUCUCAUUGAUUCUCAGAUUUUAAGAGAUCAUUUAGGGUUUUUGCUAAACUUUGUAAUUUUGUGCGAGAGAACCAAAGUGAGGCAGUGACUUAGGAGGACUGGACCCCGGCCACUUGUACAACACUGAGCACAGAGGCCGGUCUAUAGUCUCAGUGCUGGCAAGGCAGAAAUAGGUGGUUUCCUACCAGCUCAGCUGAAUCAUGACGCUCC
RNAcentral lists this long non-coding RNA (584 nucleotides) under Rattus norvegicus (Norway rat). RNAcentral describes it as "long non-coding RNA NONRATT001091". The record is from RNAcentral. Lineage: Eukaryota; Metazoa; Chordata; Mammalia; Rodentia; Muridae.